Molecule: ribosomal RNA, 165 nt
Filed under: uncultured bacterium
Lineage: Bacteria
Description: partial 16S rRNA
Rfam family: Bacterial small subunit ribosomal RNA
Source: RNAcentral
UAGGGAAUCUUCCACAAUGGGCGCAAGCCUGAUGGAGCAACGCCGCGUGAGUGAAGAAGGUCUUCGGAUCGUAAAACUCUGUUGUUAGAGAAGAACGUGUGUGAGAGUGGAAAGUUCACACAGUGACGGUAACUUACCAGAAAGGGACGGCUAACUACGUGCCAG